This 611-nucleotide long non-coding RNA is filed under the name Homo sapiens (human). RNAcentral's name for it is "HSALNT0189664". Lineage: Eukaryota; Metazoa; Chordata; Mammalia; Primates; Hominidae. The record is from RNAcentral.
AGAUAUGCUCUCCAAAGGUGAGAGGUCCAGACCUGCCAGUGUGGAUCUGCUAUACGAAGUGAUGCCAAGAUCCAGCUCCCUCCAAUAUCCUUGCUCCUGCCACCUCCUCAACUCCUCAUACACAGGAGUAUGAAGCCAGCCCAAAAUGUCAUGAAGAUUUAUGGACGAAAGUAGAGAGGACUAAUGAACUCAGAUACUCCUUCUGUCCAAACUGACUACAUGCAAGUUCAUCUCCCAAAAGUGUAGAGUGAGGCUAUUGGCCUCACAAGACAUAUAGUAAGUAUGUGGUUGAUACCUCAGGCUCAAAAUUACAAUUCUGGUUCUGCUGUUCACUGACUUUGUGAUCUUGCAUAGGUCGUUUAAACCCUCAGAGCUCUGGUUCUUUAUCUGCAAUGACAAAAUAACAAUUGUCACUAAUGUUGUUAUAAAGGUCAACUGAUAUACUGUAUAAUCCCCAGCACACAGCACUCUCCAAACAUAAGCUAGAAUAAAUGGUUUAAGGCCACAAAAAAAAAAAUAUGUUGAGAGAGCAGAGUGAGGGUGGGAUGAAAGUUAAGUGCAAUGGAUAGAACUUUGAGGCUCUGUUUCCUAAAUAUGAAGAUGGCCAGACU